RNAcentral lists this ribosomal RNA (1343 nucleotides) under uncultured bacterium. RNAcentral describes it as "16S ribosomal RNA". It matches the Rfam family "Bacterial small subunit ribosomal RNA", at positions 28 to 1378 of the family's 1533-position model. The record is from RNAcentral.
GACGAACGCUGGCGGCGUGCUUAACACAUGCAAGUCGAACGGAAAGGCCCUGCUUUUGUGGGGUGCUCGAGUGGCGAACGGGUGAGUAACACGUGAGUAACCUGCCCUUGACUUUGGGAUAACUUCAGGAAACUGGGGCUAAUACCGGAUAGGAGCUCCUGCUGCAUGGUGGGGGUUGGAAAGUUUCGGCGGUUGGGGAUGGACUCGCGGCUUAUCAGCUUGUUGGUGGGGUAGUGGCUUACCAAGGCUUUGACGGGUAGCCGGCCUGAGAGGGUGACCGGCCACAUUGGGACUGAGAUACGGCCCAGACUCCUACGGGAGGCAGCAGUGGGGAAUAUUGCACAAUGGGCGGAAGCCUGAUGCAGCAACGCCGCGUGCGGGAUGACGGCCUUCGGGUUGUAAACCGCUUUCGCCUGUGACGAAGCGUGAGUGACGGUAAUGGGUAAAGAAGCACCGGCUAACUACGUGCCAGCAGCCGCGGUGAUACGUAGGGUGCGAGCGUUGUCCGGAUUUAUUGGGCGUAAAGGGCUCGUAGGUGGUUGAUCGCGUCGGAAGUGUAAUCUUGGGGCUUAACCCUGAGCGUGCUUUCGAUACGGGUUGACUUGAGGAAGGUAGGGGAGAAUGGAAUUCCUGGUGGAGCGGUGGAAUGCGCAGAUAUCAGGAGGAACACCAGUGGCGAAGGCGGUUCUCUGGGCCUUUCCUGACGCUGAGGAGCGAAAGCGUGGGGAGCGAACAGGCUUAGAUACCCUGGUAGUCCACGCUGUAAACGGUGGGUACUAGGUGUGGGGUCCAUUCCACGGGUUCCGUGCCGUAGCUAACGCUUUAAGUACCCCGCCUGGGGAGUACGGCCGCAAGGCUAAAACUCAAAGGAAUUGACGGGGCCCCGCACAAGCGGCGGAGCAUGCGGAUUAAUUCGAUGCAACGCGUAGAACCUUACCUGGGUUUGACAUGGAUCGGGAGCGCUCAGAGAUGGGUGUGCCUCUUUUGGGGUCGGUUCACAGGUGGUGCAUGGCUGUCGUCAGCUCGUGUCGUGAGAUGUUGGGUUAAGUCCCGCAACGAGCGCAACCCUUGUUCACUGUUGCCAGCACGUUAUGGUGGGGACUCAGUGGAGACCGCCGGGGUCAACUCGGGGGAAGGUGGGGAUGACGUCAGGUCAUCAUGCCCCUUAUGUCCAGGGCUUCACGCAUGCUACAAUGGCUGGUACAGAGAGUGGCGAGCCUGUGAGGGUGAGCGAAUCUCGGAAAGCCGGUCUCAGUUCGGAUUGGGGUCUGCAACUCGACCUCAUGAAGUCGGAGUCGCUAGUAAUCGCAGAUCAGCAACGCUGCGGUGAAUACGUUCCCGGG